GGGGAGAUGGCUCAGUGGUUAAGAGCACUGGCUGCUCUUCCAGAGGUCCUGAGUUCAAUUCCCAGUAACCUCA
This 73-nucleotide transfer RNA is filed under the name Rattus norvegicus (Norway rat). It matches the Rfam family "tRNA". From Rfam's summary of the family: Transfer RNA (tRNA) molecules are approximately 80 nucleotides in length. Their secondary structure includes four short double-helical elements and three loops (D, anti-codon, and T loops). The record is from Rfam by way of RNAcentral. Lineage: Eukaryota; Metazoa; Chordata; Mammalia; Rodentia; Muridae.